GGGGGGUGGGGGGUGGACUGGUGUCGGGGUACCCUCGGGGUCCACUGUCGCGUUCCCCGGUCAUACUAUACGUGCUACGGCAUCUUGCUUAAUAUCGUUUUAUCCUCUAACAUUUCGUUAAGUUGCCGUUUCUUUUUCACUGACGAAAGAAAACCAUUGACCUUUUUGAGGUUAGGCCCAAGAAAAACAAAAAUUCAACAAAAACAAAAAAAGUGGGGAUACCAAGAACACCAGAAAGUUACCAUCUGCUGUGUUUUUAAGCGCGAGUUUUAAACCUUGCCCCGGCAAUGUUCAUCCGUCUUCGGUGGCACAAUACACGGCAUAUUUUUUCCAAAACGA
This is a long non-coding RNA of Daphnia magna, 339 nucleotides long. RefSeq lists it as uncharacterized. The record is from RefSeq and is a predicted model, not a curated record. Lineage: Eukaryota; Metazoa; Arthropoda; Branchiopoda; Diplostraca; Daphniidae. The transcript is spliced from 2 exons.